This 1081-nucleotide ribosomal RNA is filed under the name Pseudomonas aeruginosa. RNAcentral's name for it is "bacterial SSU rRNA". The record is from RNAcentral. Lineage: Bacteria; Pseudomonadati; Pseudomonadota; Gammaproteobacteria; Pseudomonadales; Pseudomonadaceae.
CAUGCAGUCGAGCGGAUGAGGGAGCUUGCUCCUGGAUUCAGCGGCGGACGGGUGAGUAAUGCCUAGGAAUCUGCCUGGUAGUGGGGGAUAACGUCCGGAAACGGGCGCUAAUACCGCAUACGUCCUGAGGGAGAAAGUGGGGGAUCUUCGGACCUCACGCUAUCAGAUGAGCCUAGGUCGGAUUAGCUAGUUGGUGGGGUAAAGGCCUACCAAGGCGACGAUCCGUAACUGGUCUGAGAGGAUGAUCAGUCACACUGGAACUGAGACACGGUCCAGACUMCUACGGGAGGCAGCAGUGGGGAAUAUUGGACAAUGGGCGAAAGCCUGAUCCAGCCAUGCCGCGUGUGUGAAGAAGGUCUUCGGAUUGUAAAGCACUUUAAGUUGGGAGGAAGGGCAGUAAGUUAAUACCUUGCUGUUUUGACGUUACCAACAGAAUAAGCACCGGCUAACUUCGUGCCAGCAGCCGCGGUAAUACGAAGGGUGCAAGCGUUAAUCGGAAUUACUGGGCGUAAAGCGCGCGUAGGUGGUUCAGCAAGUUGGAUGUGAAAUCCCCGGGCUCAACCUGGGAACUGCAUCCAAAACUACUGAGCUAGAGUACGGUAGAGGGUGGUGGAAUUUCCUGUGUAGCGGUGAAAUGCGUAGAUAUAGGAAGGAACACCAGUGGCGAAGGCGACCACCUGGACUGAUACUGACACUGAGGUGCGAAAGCGUGGGGAGCAAACAGGAUUAGAUACCCUGGUAGUCCACGCCGUAAACGAUGUCGACUAGCCGUUGGGAUCCUUGAGAUCUUAGUGGCGCAGCUAACGCGAUAAGUCGACCGCCUGGGGAGUACGGCCGCAAGGUUAAAACUCAAAUGAAUUGACGGGGGCCCGCACAAGCGGUGGAGCAUGUGGUUUAAUUCGAAAGCAACGCGAAGAAACCUUUACCUGGCCUUGACAUGCUGAGAACUUUUCCAGAGAUGGGAUUGGUGCCUUCGGGAACUCAGACACAGGUGCUGCAUGGGCUGUCGUCAGCUCGUGGUCGUGARGAUGGUUGGGAUUAAGUCCCUGUACGAGCGCAAUCUUGUCCUAGCUUMUCUCUC